Molecule: ribosomal RNA, 253 nt
Filed under: uncultured bacterium
Lineage: Bacteria
Description: partial 16S ribosomal RNA
Rfam family: Bacterial small subunit ribosomal RNA
Source: RNAcentral
UACGUAGGAUGCAAGCGUUGUUCGGAAUUACUGGGCGUAAAGCGUGCGUAGACGGUUAUUUAAGUCGGAUGUGAAAGCCCCGGGCUCAACCUGGGAAUUGCAUUCGAGACUGAAUAGCUAGGGUACGGUAGAGGGAAGUGGAAUUUCCGGUGUAGCGGUGAAAUGCGUAGAUAUCGGAAGGAACAUCAGUGGCGAAAGCGACUUCCUGGACCAGUACCGACGUUCAGGCACGAAAGCGUGGGGAGCAAACAGG